This 740-nucleotide ribosomal RNA is filed under the name uncultured Lachnospiraceae bacterium. RNAcentral's name for it is "bacterial SSU rRNA". It matches the Rfam family "Bacterial small subunit ribosomal RNA", at positions 35 to 776 of the family's 1533-position model. Lineage: Bacteria; Bacillati; Bacillota; Clostridia; Lachnospirales; Lachnospiraceae. The record is from RNAcentral.
GCUGGCGGCGUGCUUAACACAUGCAAGUCGAACGGGAAACUUUUCAUUGAAGCUUCGGCAGAUUUGGUCUGUUUCUAGUGGCGGACGGGUGAGUAACGCGUGGGUAACCUGCCUUAUACAGGGGGAUAACAACCAGAAAUGGUUGCUAAUACCGCAUAAGCGCACAGGACCGCAUGGUCCGGUGUGAAAAACUCCGGUGGUAUAAGAUGGACCCGCGUUGGAUUAGCUAGUUGGCAGGGCAACGGCCUACCAAGGCGACGAUCCAUAGCCGGCCUGAGAGGGUGAACGGCCACAUUGGGACUGAGACACGGCCCAGACUCCUACGGGAGGCAGCAGUGGGGAAUAUUGCACAAUGGGGGAAACCCUGAUGCAGCGACGCCGCGUGAAGGAAGAAGUAUCUCGGUAUGUAAACUUCUAUCAGCAGGGAAGAUAGUGACGGUACCUGACUAAGAAGCCCCGGCUAACUACGUGCCAGCAGCCGCGGUAAUACGUAGGGGGCAAGCGUUAUCCGGAUUUACUGGGUGUAAAGGGAGCGUAGACGGACUGGCAAGUCUGAUGUGAAAGGCGGGGGCUCAACCCCUGGACUGCAUUGGAAACUGUUAGUCUUGAGUGCCGGAGAGGUAAGCGGAAUUCCUAGUGUAGCGGUGAAAUGCGUAGAUAUUAGGAGGAACACCAGUGGCGAAGGCGGCUUACUGGACGGUAACUGACGUUGAGGCUCGAAAGCGUGGGGAGCAAACAGG